Molecule: ribosomal RNA, 449 nt
Filed under: uncultured bacterium
Lineage: Bacteria
Description: bacterial SSU rRNA
Rfam family: Bacterial small subunit ribosomal RNA
Source: RNAcentral
AGCGAACGCUGGCGGCAGGCCUAAUACAUGCAAGUCGAACGGAUCCUUCGGGAUUAGUGGCGGACGGGUGAGUAACACGUGGGAACGUGCCCUUUGGUUCGGAACAACUCAGGGAAACUUGAGCUAAUACCGGAUAAGCCCUUCGGGGAAGGAUUAUCGCCAUUGGAGCGGCCCGCGUCUGAUUAGCUAGUUGGUGGGGUAAAGGACCUACCAAGGCGACGAUCAGUAGCUGGUCUGAGAGGAUGAUCAGCCACACUGGGACUGAGACACGGCCCAGACUCCUACGGGAGGCAGCAGUAGGGAAUCUUGCGCAAUGGGCGAAAGCCUGACGCAGCCAUGCCGCGUGAAUGAUGAAGGUCUUAGGAUUGUAAAAUUCUUUCAGCGGGGACGAUAAUGACGGUACCCGCAGAAGAAGCCCCGGCUAACUUCGUGCCAGCCGCCGCCGUAAU